Molecule: long non-coding RNA, 3411 nt
Organism: Acipenser ruthenus (sterlet)
Lineage: Eukaryota; Metazoa; Chordata; Actinopteri; Acipenseriformes; Acipenseridae
Exons: 4
Source: RefSeq, a predicted model, not a curated record
GCUUUCAUAGUGAGGUGAUUCACAGGACGGAUACUCACGCUUACAAGCAGCAAAUAGUAUUAACACUAUUAUAGACAGUCUAAACCAUAAACCAUAGCGUGACAGGAGGUUAUUUCUGUGUUCUUCAUACUGGAGUUUACUCAGCAGCAGACACAUUCACAGAAACCAACAUAUGGUAUUGUUAUACACUGCAUAUUGUUAUUUGCUGUUUGUGAAUAACCUGGUGUUCUUUCAUAUUCAAAUAUGUAUUCGUUCGAACUUUAGUCUCAAUACUAAGUAACAGCGACAUAUAAUACAACAGUGUGAUGAUUCUGAGAAGGCGAGAUGUUAGAAUUGACAGUAUGUAAAGCGAUAUUAGGGUUUUAGUCGUGUGGUUUUGUUUGAAAUGCAUCUGGUCCCAAAGCAAUUAAAGAAAGGAAGUAGUUUUCCAUCAUCCAAUACCUCGAACGUCUGCCAACACGUUAUUGCUGGCUUCUAAAGGGAAUUUACAUUCAUUUGACAAAACAAAAAUAAUUUUGUGGUUCACUUGAGCAUAUGUAGUUUUUUUUUUUUUUUUUUUUUAAUGCAAGCGAUAAAAAUACAUGCAUUAAUAAUAUUAAGCAUAACUUAAAUGCUUUUGAGAUACUAACAUAUAAUGCACGAUUUCGUUGCUUUAAAUCUUAGCAUCCUGUACAUUAAUUUAAUUUAAUUUAAUUUAAUUUAAAUAUCACAUGCAUUUUAAUUAUUGUUAUUACAAGGGAAAGGGAAAUAAUAAUGCUUAAACGUUUAACUGUUUGGGUUAUAAAACUACAAAUCCCGUCACCCUCUGCUCCCACAUGUCAGGUGAGCCUGGUGAUUGUAGUGCGUAUUUAAACUGAGAAUGGCACAGUCUGUAGCAGAGCGCAGUUAUGAUAGAUGUUGAGGGAGGUUGCUGGAGCGCUGUACACGAACAGAUGCAUGAAACCGCUGUAAAAUAUCGACCGGAUGACGGACUCUGCUGUAUACACACGGAUAAAUUGGACAAUGGGAUGAUCUGCUGUAUAAAGCCGGGAUCCGAAAAGUUUGGACAUUUUUCAUUUGGGAUCUUAACAUUAUGGAUUUCAGCACUGGAUGUUCCGUAGUACCUGUGUGGUAACAUUGUUAGGCUACUACUGUAACCCCUUACUGGAAUUGUCUAGUCAUUACAUUUUUGUUUUAUUUCAAAUCAACAAUCGAUUUAAACAUUGCAAUGGAUGCGAUGUUUUUUUUCUUUCUUUUUUUUUUAAACGAUCACAACAGUGUGUAAAGGUUUUAAAUCUCAGCCAUGCGCUGGUUUACACAAUGUGUCGGCAAGAUACCUGCAUUUGUAACGUUUUCAUGGAUAUAACUUAACGAAUCCGUGGACCCUAUAAGUGGUUCACGCGUUCUAAUUACUAUAACAUAUGAUACGGUGCGGGAGGCACUGAAGAUGACCAGUAUUCACUGGAGUCAUGGGUAACCUCAGUUUCUACGGAUUACAGUCAGACUGUGGGAAUGAAUUUUCUUGAUAUCUGACUACAUUAUGUUGUUCAAUUUACUUGGGAUUAUUUUCAGGAAGUUGUCGCUGAUGCAGGUGUAUACCUGGGGUUCGAGAAUAUCCACGUGUGUUAAAUUUCACAAUAUACUUCACAUCUGUGGAUAGUCACGAUCAUGUAAUCUACGGUAUAUAAAAUAUACAUGAAAUGGAAUAAUACCUUAAUCACCAUGUGGAUUUAAAUGGACAAUCAAACGGAUUCACCUAUUAACAGGGUCAUCCUGUGCUUGGUUGCAAUAAGGUAGCAGAAGACUGAAAUGAGAACUGCUCGAAGUGACUCUGCAUACAGGAUUGGAGGGCUGGGCUGCAUUCACGCAUUGGCUUCAGAGGCGAAAGGUCAUCUCUAUCCUAUCUGCAAUCGGUAUCCAUGUUAUUAAAGAGAAAUUAAAUGGUCAUUAACCACAGGCCAUUUGCCAGCAGUGACUGUCCUUGGAUAACCGUAGUCCGAAGAAGUUGCAUGAUGGACAUUAAACAUAAGCCUUGCAUUGACUGGCCAUGAAUGACACUGGGUUGUCUCCGGGUCUUGUGCUGCCAAAGAAAUGGACAACAAUGACAAUGCAGGUCUGAUUACUUGUCUGUGGGAUGCCCUGUGCUUAUACCCGAUGAUGCAGCUUGAUUUGCGGGGAAGAAGACAGCAGGGCCUCCUGUUCUCUUGGCAAAAACGAGUCAGUCCAGAAGGUGUUUGAACAGGAGUCACACAAAAUGUUUAGAAUCCAGGGAGUUUCCAGACCUUGAUCAUUCAUUAACAUAUUGGGUCUUAUGCAGGGAAAAUCCCGUAUGAAAAAUGUAUUUAAUUGAAAUGCAAUAUACCGCAAGUGCAUUUGAUUACAUAUUAGAUAUGUGGUAGGACUUCAUUACCGAAUAACAGACAGCAACUGGGAUACAUAUAUGUAAAACUGAGGUUUUUUUUGUGUUAUUUUAUGUUCUCCAGAAUGGCCCAUAGACUCAUGAUUUUUGAGAGUGUUCCUCAAGAUUUUUGAUUUCAGAGACACUUGCCAACUCAAUAUCCAAGGAUCCAACAGGAUACCCAUCAAUUGCUGGAAAUAGUUAAUGAAGAAAAAAAGUAAUUGAGAUUGUUGAUUAUGCUUCGGAUACCACACCUUGAAAAUCGAGUGAUGCGAGCUAUUUCACUCAAUGUUUUUCCUUCUUUUAUGCAAGUCAAGGGUUGUUGUUUAAUGCCCAUUUUACCUCAUGGGGGGGAAAAAUAAAUAACAGAUACUCAAUCAUUCUAUACCAGUUUCAGGUGCACUGUACAGUAGUUCAGCCAACACAUAUUCAACAGUAACCCUGCCAAAGCAUACAGGAGCAAGGUGGUCAAUGUUCAGAGCCUAACCAGGAUCCUUUCGUUGUUGAACUAGACACCACCAAUGCCCUCUAGCUGUCAGGCUACAGUUCAGGAGUUGCUGAUAAACCCUGACAAAGUGUUUCAUCGAAACUGAUUGUCCUCCUCUUAUCUCUAGAAUAAACACAGUGGCUUCGUUUAUCCAGGACCUGGGGUCAACCGUGUUUGUACAUUUGUGGAAAAAAUGUGGUUUCACACACACGAACAAAAAGUGAAUAUGUUUAGAGAGACCGAUGUUUGCUAAGUGAAGGGAGAAGGUUUAGACUAGGUACUAUGUGUAUAUGGUUACAUAGAUGAAAUGAUGUGUCAGUAGCCGGAAAACUUGCAAUGUGAAAUACACCCCAUAAUCCUUAAUGACCUACAUGAGAUCUCAUCACCAGGUGCUGGAGGUAAUGUCUCUAUUCACCACAAGGAGAACAAGGGAAACUACUUUCUCUUGUUUACCUGUAGGUCUUUUAAAUGUGUAUUCUGUCAUCAAAAGUAACUGUGGAUAUGUAACUGCAGACCUCCAUAAUAAAAAUAAAGAAUAAUUUAACCA